RNAcentral lists this ribosomal RNA (605 nucleotides) under Dujonia zeylanoides. RNAcentral's name for it is "[Candida] zeylanoides partial large subunit ribosomal RNA". It matches the Rfam family "Eukaryotic large subunit ribosomal RNA", at positions 49 to 670 of the family's 3401-position model. Lineage: Eukaryota; Fungi; Ascomycota; Pichiomycetes; Serinales; Debaryomycetaceae. The record is from RNAcentral.
AGCGGAGGAAAAGAAACCAACAGGGAUUGCCUCAGUAACGGCGAGUGAAGCGGCAAAAGCUCAAAUUUGAAAUCUAGCACUUUCAGUGUUCGAGUUGUAAUUUGAAGAAGGUAACUUUGGUUUUGGCUCUUGUCUAUGUUCCUUGGAACAGGACGUCACAGAGGGUGAGAAUCCCGUGCGAUGAGAUGCCCAAUUCCAUGUAAAGUGCUUUCGAAGAGUCGAGUUGUUUGGGAAUGCAGCUCUAAGUGGGUGGUAAAUUCCAUCUAAAGCUAAAUAUUGGCGAGAGACCGAUAGCGAACAAGUACAGUGAUGGAAAGAUGAAAAGAACUUUGAAAAGAGAGUGAAAAAGUACGUGAAAUUGUUGAAAGGGAAGGGCUUGAGAUCAGACUUGGUAUUUUGCGUUCCCUUCCUUUUUGGUUGGGUUCCUCGCAGUUUACUGGGCCAGCAUCGGUUUGGAUGGUAGGAUAAUGACAUUGGAAUGUAGCUUUACUUCGGUGAAGUGUUAUAGACUUUGUUGAUACUGCCUAUCUAGACCGAGGACUGCGUCUUUGACUAGGAUGCUGGCGUAAUGAUCUUAAGCCGCCCGUCUUGAAACACGGACCAAA